UAAGAAGAACUACUAAAGCCAGGAAUGGUGGCAGAUGCCUGUAAUCCCAGUGACAUGGGAGGCUGACGCAGCAGAAUUGCAAGUUCAAAGCCAGCCUCUGCAACCAACCAAAUUGUUACUAGUGACUUAAUCAAAAUAAUCUGGGUGUCUCUCAGGAUCCGACCUAGGUGUCCCUCAAUAGAUGAAUGGAUAAAGAAAACGUAGUAUAUAUACUCAAUGGAAUAUUACUCAACUUUAAAGAAGAAUGAAAUUAUGGCAUUUGCCAGUAAACGGUUGGAGUUGGAGAAUUAUCAUGCUUAGCGAAAUAAGCCAGUCCCACAAAACCAAAGGCCAAAUAUUUUCUCUAAUAUGAGAAUGCUAAUUCACAAUAAGGUGGGGGGCACUAGGGAAGAAUAGUGUUACCUUAGAUUAGGAAGAGGGAAGUGAUGGGAGAGGGGGAGUUGGGGAUAGGAAAGAUAGUAGAAUGAAACAGACAUUAUUACUCUCUCUAUAUAUGUGACUACAUGACCAAUGAUUCUCAACAUAUACACUCAGAAAAAUGAGAAAUUAUAUCCCAGCUAUGUAUAUCAAAGUGCAUAAAUGCAUUUUACUGUCAUGUAAAACUAAUUAAAACAUAAAAAAUUUAAAAAGUAAUCUGGGGACUACUGGCUAGAAAUCUGGGAGAAAAAAAAAGUGGACCCCUCUUUAUUGUAGUAGGCAGAAUUUGAAAUGUUCCUUAAGAUCUUUGUUCAGUGUUACUCUUAUGAUUGUGUUAUGUGUUUUAUGUGGCCAAACUGACCUCAAGUGGAGAGAUUAUCCUGGCUUAUUUGUAUGUUUCAGUGAAAUCACAUAAACCCUCAGACAAAAGAGUAGUAGCAGAAGUCAAUUCAGAGUUUAGAAGCUGCAGGAGAUGCUCUAAUGUGGAUGUUGAAGGAGAAACUACCAUAUGUGGAAAGGGCCAUGUGACCGGGAAUGAGGGUGAGAAGAGCCCGUCUCCUGACAAACAGGAAAUGGGGACCUCUGAGGUUUGCAAAGAGCUGAAUUCUUCCAAGACUGUGAGUGAACUUGGAAAAUAGAUUCUCCCAAAUGCAUCCUUGAUGUUCCCUUGAUUUUAAAUUAGUGAAAUCCUGAGCAAAUGUUUUAGUCCAGACUGAACCCUGAGUUCUGUUAAGCUGUCCUGGACUUCUGACUCAGAAAACUGAGAUAUAAUAAGUUUGAAUUGUUUAAAGCUGCUAAUUUUGAUAGCAACAAUUUUUUUUUCAAGAUUUAAUGUACAUUUAUUCUUAACAUGUGGAACAUAUAGUAUAAAGAUUUCAUACUGAAUAAAUGAUAUUCAUUAAGCCAAAAAAAGGAAAAAAAGGAGGAAUUUACAUCAAGUUUUAGCUACAUUGUUGAAAUACAAAUAUGCAGAUUUUAUCACUGAAAAAAUCUCAAUUGUGUUUCUUCAUCAGGAAUUUCAACUGAACCUAGAACUUUUUCACACCUCAAUUAGAAAGAAAACAAAACAAAACAAAAACCCAGAAAAAAAAUAAACUAUAAGUUGAUUGGCUGCUGAGACAGCAAGGACUUUUUACAGAGACCUGUACAGCAUCACACCAAGAGGGGCGAUGUCUGGCAAGAGAUUUAAUAGCUGUGUCUCGAUUUGUGCAGGUCACCAACUUGUUAACUCGUCAUACUAUAAAGGGGUAGCUGGGAGAGGGACCAAACUGUGGGGAUCCAAGGGUAUGUGCAAUGUACAACGUCAUAUAUAUACACACGUGGCAGCGCAGUCGCUGCAGCUAAAGGUUAAAACCAGUUCUAAGAGGUGAUCUCAGGGAUAGCAACAAUUUUGAUAGCAACAACUCAAGACUAAUAAAAUCCAUUAUGCCAAAAUAAAUUCCAUAUGGAUUGAUGAUGAAUAUGAAUAUGAAGAUUAAAACUUUCUUCAACAAAUUAUAAUAAAUAAAAUAUAAGUCAAAAUACAAAAAAUCUGGGUGAAUAUUCAUAAUACAUGAGAGCCCAUUAAUCUGAUAUUUAAAGAUUUAAAUAUUUGCACAAAAAUCAACCAUAGUUUUAUAGUCUUAAUCUCACCAAUAAAAAAGGGACUGAAAUUGAAACUAUGCAAGUUAUCACCUUUUCACUUAUAUUAACAAACAUCAAAUAAUUUUUUAAUAUUAAGGACUAUGUACUUCAUUUAAUAUUGUUGGUGAUAUAAAUCAUUUACUCCUUGAAGAGCAAUUUAAUAAUACCUAUCAAAAUUUAAAAUGCACAUACCUGUAGCAACUCCACUUUUUCAAAUUUAUCCCAAAGAUACAACUCAUAAAUAUAAACAUCUAUACAGACCCACUAUCACUUAUCCAAAACUCUUAGUAUUUUUGAAAGAUAUGUUGAUGCAUACAACUGAGUAUAUCUUGUAACAAUUCUAGUAGGAGUUGGGGGUAACAGCCUAUAAUCAAACUUAGUUAUAUAUUGGUGAAAAAAUACACAAAUUCACAUUAAGUAGUAUAAAUAAAUAUUAUAAAUAGCCUAACAUCUGCUCAGCUACAGUUUAGCUGCCAAAUGAGCAUGCCAAAUGAAAAUACUUUCAGUUUUGUAAGUUGUUUGGGCCUUGGAAUCACAGAUAAAAGAUGUUAAAAUUGAACAAGAUUACCUACUGUAAGCAGAGUUUUGUUGUUGAUGUUGUUGUUGUUUUUGUUUUUCCUGUAACAGUAAAUGAGUAGAAAGAACUUAAACUUUUUAUCCCAGCCUCUAGGUACAGAAUAAAUAAUGGAAUCAUAUUCACAAAAUGUAUUAAAAGUAAUAAAAGUAUUAAAAAGUGUGAGAAAAGGCUGAGAUAGGUAUAUGUGGAUUGUGGAUUGAGUGAAUAAAAC
This 2828-nucleotide long non-coding RNA is filed under the name Marmota monax (woodchuck). The record is from RNAcentral. Lineage: Eukaryota; Metazoa; Chordata; Mammalia; Rodentia; Sciuridae.